AGAGGAGCUAUAAUACUCCUUCUCCAAGAAAACACAAGACAGUAAAUCCUCUUUUUUGGAAAUAAUCUCAAUCUCUCUGCUUUUCAGUUUUUGGCUGUUUAGAAAUUUUGUUUAUCAGCAGUAGAACCACUGCUGGACUUUGCUUGAUGCAGCCUUAUUUAAUGUUUGAUCCAGUGUUGGCUUUGUCCCUCUUUAAUUAUGCAUGAAAACAGAACAAGUAGACAAUAAUUGAUAGUGCUUCUGGCGUUGUUUUCCACAGAGCUUUAUCACCACAGGGGGCCAAAAAAAAAAAACCAAAAAAAACCCCUCCAAAAACCAAAACAAAAAACCUAUCCAAAUUGUCUCCCUGUCACCAGGAAGAAAUAGAGGCAGUCCUGGCCAUGGAAACAGUUUGCUUCUUUUCUCUUUUCUUUUUCAUUCUUUUCUCUCCCCCACCUCCGCCCCCUUCUCUUCCUUUCAUAAUGUGAAUCUCCUGGUUGGGGAGAUAAGCUGCUAAUUCUAUUAAUUUUCUUAUCAAAAUCAGCGAGGUAACCGAAGCUUCCAAUUUAGUGAUUUAUUAUCCUGAGCAAGCUGUGCGAAGUGUACCUUUCAUAUUCUGUAAUUGGCACUAGAGGGGAAGAGACUUUCAAGGGAGACACACUCAGCUAACCGUUUCCAUUUCAAUUGACUAUUGAGCAAACAAAUGCAGUGUCCUUUCAUUGGCUGAAAUCAUUUAAAAUGAUAAAGCUAGCAAUUCUGCAUUUGAAUAUAUGCCAGUGGAUGUCUGUGUGCAAGAUGCUGACCCCUAAGACAUUAAAAUAUGAGCACAAUAACAUCCCUCUGUAGGAUUUUGCAUCAAUAAAACAUCCAAGUGGGAUAUGUUAAUUGACAUGCAAAAGGCCAAAAUUGAUCACACAUGUAAUCUGACCCUUAUUAUUACACCAUCCCCCAAGCCCCUGGAAAUAAACAUCUUCCCUUUGCACACUGAGUGUUGGAUCCUUUUAUAUAUAAAAGAUGGCUGCAAACAGUAGACUCCAGUAUUUAAGCAGUGAGAUAGAAACUUGUAUCAAAGGCAUUAGCAGUGGGAAAGAAAAAGCAUUCACCACUUUCUUUUUUUUUUUUUUUUGGAUGCCAAGGGUAAGUAGGACUGGUUCAGAUAUAAAUGUAGAAGAGAGACUAUACUUUGGGUGGGCAAAGUAGCUGCUUCUUGUUUAGUGUCAUUUGACAAGCUCGGGAAGGCACCUCUGUCAAAUAUUACCCUCAGUAAAGCAGUACUUGAAUCGUAGGGAUCCAUUUCCUUGUUGAUGAUCAUAAUUUUCCUUUAAAAUUAGAUAUUACAUAAUUGUUGGCAUCAACUAGCUUAAUGAUGGCAAAUAACACUGUAUACACUGCCCUAUUUAAAUUUAAGAGCAAAAUAUGAAUUCUCCCAUUCCAUAGAUGAUGCUUAGAGAGGCUUCAGAAAUUAAAUAUCAAAAAGAGGCUUGGGAAGUUAAGUAACUUGUCUGAUUUCAGAUGGUGAGAAAGUGUUCAGGCUGGGGUUUGAAUUUAGCAUCGUGAUAUGUGAAACUCUUCUCGGCUCAUUGUUCUAUUCUUCUCUAGACUUGUAUUUCUGGAAGAAUGAACACCUAGGCCCUUAAAUCUUCAAUAGAAAUCCACACUGAAUUACACCAUGCCCAAACCCUUGAAGUAGUUUUUUGGUACUUAAAACUUCAAAGAUAACUCAUAUGAAAAAGGGGAUCACUGUUUCUCAUGAAAUACAGUUUUGACAAUUGGGAACUUCCCUUCUAAUUCUCUGGGAUCUUUUCGCCUGGGAGAAACAGGCCUGGGAUUAUUUUCCCUUGCAGAGUGCUGUCCGUGGUGCUGAUGGCUGGGAGAUGUACUGCAGUAGUGUGCACAGUGAUUUAGACAUUUGUUUGGGCUUUUAAUCUUUUCUCAUCUACACGCACCACCAAAAUAAAAACCAGUGAAGUAUGUACCUUAUAAAUCUGCUUGUUCUCUCACUCCUCAGAAAUAUUUCAGAAAGAACUUGACACUUGUAAUCAGAACUGGGCUUAGAUGCUGCCUACUUUUGAUUCAGCGAUCCUGCACCCCUUCCUUUUCCAUUUUAAACAGCAUGAAAGUUGUAGGUACCAGAAGGGCAUGCGCUGGGGUAGUGCUGCUGUUGGAAGGAUGUAAAAUUUGCUUAUGUGAAAUGACUCUCCACCUGACUACAAAUAUUGAAUUAAGAGAAGAACAAGUUGCUAGGGCAGUGAGUUAUGUAGAGUACACGGGGGUUGGGGGGUAGGGGGAGAAGCCACUGAGCUUCACAGGGGUGCAGCAAAAAGGCACACAUUUGAUGACAGUGACACAGCGCAAAUAUUUUUUGAAGAUAGAGUUGCAAAGGACCAUUAGAUAUUAAUUACAACCAGAAGGGCCUGAUGACGUUUAGCAAGAUUUGGGUCGAAAGAAAGCCUAUGUGGGAUCUUAUUAAAUAGAAAAAAGUAAAGUAAAUAAUAAUUAUUAGGGGAUAACAAUUCUCUGGGAUUCUUGGAGGUAUGCACAAUAUAAGAGUAGGACAGAAUAACUUGACCAGGUGAAGUAAAAUACAGAAAGGUGGACUAAAGGAAGGGGGAGAAAAGACAAAACUAUGUUUUUGAUAACUAUUACUAUUUAAAAAACACUGUGUUAUCCAGUGUACUAUGUGAUUUUCAGGUAUCAUCACAUAGGAUUAUUUCCAUUUUGCAUAUGAAGGAAUUGUCUAGCUACCAUUCUAUUCUCUAAAUUGUUUUACCAGAAUAUAACAAAUAUGUUGCAUUGUAGAAUUUUUGUACGUCUACUAUUAGUGGAAUAUUAGUUAUAGAUGCAUGGAUAUUGUGGAUUAAAAAGAGAAAGAAUUCACAUUUGGGACAAAAACUUUCCAUAGAACAGACUGAUUCUGUGGUUUAAAUAAUGCACUAAGAUUAUAUAAACCCUAAUUACUAAUAGUAUAACGUCAGUCAAGCUGCAGAAAUUCUCUGAUUUUCAGCAUAAAAUCGAAUAAAGUUUCUGCUAGUAUUUAUUCUAUAAAAUACUUUGAAAAUAAUCAAAACUGGCAUAGUAAGGCAAAGCAUAAUUGUGAAGAAAAACAUUUAUGAGACAAAUUACUUGUGAUUACCAAAGGAUCAUGGAUGCUUUUCAUAAAGCUAGCUAGGAAGAAACUAGAACUUGAUUCUUCAUUUGUUUCCAAGGUUCCACCUGGAUCUUCUGUGUACAAAGGUGACUUUGACUUCAAAGGGCAGUGGGAAUUGAAUCUGGUAUGAAAAUGGGACUAGGAAAUAUAUGGUCUUUCAGGAAAAGGUCAUUACCUACUGUACAGAAGCUCAACUUUUAUUUUGAUUAAAUACUUUUUUCAGUGUGAUUUACUAGCUAAUUACUUCCCCACUUUGUGUCUUGGCAAGACUUACCUGAUAUAUAAUGUCUACUUGUAGGGCUUUGAAGCCUCAAGGUUUGUGUGCUUUUAUGUAAAAUUAUUAAUAUUAAUAAUAAUUAACCAUAAGUGGUAACUACAGUGGGCUAGAUGGCCUUUACUUCUUUCAAAAACUUCUUUAUGUUCUUAGUUUCAAAAGGUAGAGGUGAUAAUGCAAAGAUAUCAGUGACAUUUUAAAUUAAAUUAUUGAUCUUGGACUGAAGUUUAAAUAAUUAACUCAACAAGGGGACUACCUUUCCCUUGUGUCAAAUUGGAAGCUCUAAAUACCAUCUGCUUAUGUCACAGGAAAACUUUUUGUCUGUUUGUAGUCAUGCUGAGUUUGAGGUUCUUGUUGGCCUCGUUUUUAAGACCCUCAUCCAUUAAUCUUACUAGGUAUUAGUCGGUAUCACUGGCAAUUAGUCUUUUAAGUUGCAUCCAGAUGGAAGGUAUAAAUUAUUAGAGGUUUCCUGCCAGGCACAAGUGUAGACGAUUCAUGGACCUAUACCACUUUUUUCAGCUCUCUGUUAAGAAGCUGUGAAGAGUAUGCAGUUGGAAAGACUAACCUUCACAUUUUGUCUUGAUUUCAACACUUGCUGGCCGUUACACCUGGGAUAUCUGGAAACACAACAGGCUGAAGUAUUUUUGAUUUUUUUAGACUUAUUUUAUGUUCUUUUAUUACCUUCCACCUCUUUUGGUUCUCUUUUCUAUUCUCCCUUGUCUAAUAUCAGGAGGAUGCCUCUCCAGAAGUAGCCUUGCCUGCAGUGAAUGUAGUUCUUGCCAGCACUCUCCUGUCUUGGCCAGUGGUAAUAGAUUUGGGGUAAGAGGGGUUACCAGGUUAGAUUUUUCUCAUGAAUAUUUAACUUUUAUGUAUGUGUCAUCCAAUGCAAUCCUAAACUCAGUACAUAAGACCUCACCUAUAGAUUAAAGGAAUGAAAAUUGGCCAUGAGGCUUAUGUGCUUCUCUCGUACCUUUUUCUUACUAUUGCAUUUUCUUGGUAAAACUCUUGCCCUAGAUAAACCCUGAGAGCCACCUACAUUUUUCUAUGCCUGUAUUCAAGCAGUGAAACAUUCCUGGAGAAAGUGAGAGGGAGAUUGGUAGGACUAAAAAUUUAUGAUUAUGUCAUAAUUAAUAUAUAAAUUAGGUAGAAAUCCAACCUAAGCUAGGUUAAGCAAAAAUGUAAAUUUAUUGGCUUAUAUAAAUGGAAGGCUAGAGGGGCAGUCAAGCGUUAGGCAUGGCAGGAUCUGGACAUUCAAGCAGUGUCAUCAGGGCUUUGCUUUCCUUUCUUUUUUUUUUUUUUCCUUACAAAUUUAAUUCUUUUUUUAUUAGGUCAUUAUCC
RNAcentral lists this long non-coding RNA (4739 nucleotides) under Sus scrofa (pig). RNAcentral's name for it is "lncRNA (ENSSSCG00000054803.1)". The record is from RNAcentral. Lineage: Eukaryota; Metazoa; Chordata; Mammalia; Artiodactyla; Suidae.